This 67-nucleotide transfer RNA is filed under the name Cacajao calvus (bald uakari). RNAcentral describes it as "tRNA-Gly". The record is from RNAcentral. Lineage: Eukaryota; Metazoa; Chordata; Mammalia; Primates; Pitheciidae. RNAcentral also lists the same sequence under 3 other names.
ACUCUUUUAGUAUAAAUAGUACUAUUGACUUCCAAUCAAUAAGUCUCAGUAAGUCUGUGAAAGAGUA